This 292-nucleotide ribosomal RNA is filed under the name uncultured bacterium. RNAcentral describes it as "partial 16S ribosomal RNA". The record is from RNAcentral.
GGACUACUAGGGUAUCUAAUCCUGUUUGCUCCCCACGCCGUCGUGGCUCAGUGUCAGGUCUCGCCCAGAACGCCGCUUGCGCCACUGGUGUUCCUCCCGAUAUCUACGCAUUUCACCACUACACCGGGAAUUCCACGUUCCUCUGCGAGCCUCCAGUCAACGUGUCUACCGCGACCUCGCCGGCAUUACUCCGGCGCUUUCACGCGGCACAUCAUCGACCACCUACCCACGCUUUACGCCCAGUAAUUCCGGACAACGCUUGGCCCCUACGUAUUACCGCGGCUGCUGGCAC